UUCAUUUUUGUAUUUAGAUAGAUAGAUAUAUAGAGAGAGAAAGAGAGAGAGGUUCAACUUACUUAAGAGUAAGUUUUUUUAAGUUAUUCCACAUCAUAAUCAUUAAAUUAAAUUUAAUCUAAUGAUAAAAUUAACAUUUUUAUUUAUUUAACCAUUCGAUUAAAUCUAAUUUAAAGAUUAUAAUUUGGAGUAAGUAAAAAAAACUUACUCUUGAAAUAGUUAUCUAUCUAUCUAUCUAUCUAUCUAUCUAUCUAUCUAUCUAUCUAUCUACAUAUGCUUUAUGGCAUAUGUUGCCAGGAUUCAUUUACAGGUAUGCAUCAUAUUGGUCAUGUAGGCAUGGAUUCAAGUGGUCUUUGUUUGGCACUGAUGCAGGUUUUAUAUUGCAAGGUUGUGCCUUUGGUUUUAUCUCUGUUGGUCAAUUAUUAUGCUAUAUUGGUCUGCUCAUGGUCCUGCUGUAGGCUUGGUUUGCUGGUAUGCCUUGCAUUUAUCAUGGUCAGGUUGCAUUAUUGAUGGUUUUGCUAGGCGGGUUCUGGCUUCAUGUUCCAGUGGUAUUCUUGUGUUCUUCCAUGGCCUUUGAUGUAGCAGUCUGGAUUGGUUUUACAGGAAGCUUGGUUUACCUGCUGCAAUGUUGUAGGAUGACCUUAGAUUUGUGCUUACAGCAUGAUUGGACUGAAUGUUGUGAUUAUAAUGGCUUGUUGUAGGCCUAUGUAUUCUGCAAUAUGGAAAUUGAACUGGUGAAUUAUGAAUGUUGCAGGAUGAACAAUUUGCUAAGGAUGACUACUGCAGCAUAUUGCAUAAUGUCAUAACCAGGUUCUGCGGGUCAUAUGCACAUGGAAGUUGAUUGAACAAGACAACAUGACAUCAAGUUGAAGUUUUGAAGCAACAUGUCUAAAUGGCAAACUAAAGGAUCAAGAUUGAGAAAUAGGAUUAGGAUUUUAGGAUUUUAGGGUUUUAGGAUGGAAAAGAGUUAAGUUGACUUUGGUCAGAGUUAACCAAAAAGUCAACUAUUGACCAAAGUUAAAAACUGGUCAAUAUGUCCAAUUUUUGUAAUUUUUGAUGUAAUGAAUAUUCCUAUGCAAUACAGAUGAUUAUUUGAAUGA
Molecule: long non-coding RNA, 1100 nt
Organism: Lathyrus oleraceus (garden pea)
Lineage: Eukaryota; Viridiplantae; Streptophyta; Magnoliopsida; Fabales; Fabaceae
Exons: 5
Source: RefSeq, a predicted model, not a curated record